Molecule: non-coding RNA, 107 nt
Organism: Epilithonimonas sp.
Lineage: Bacteria; Pseudomonadati; Bacteroidota; Flavobacteriia; Flavobacteriales; Weeksellaceae
Source: Rfam
CUGCAAUAGGGAUAUUAGUGGAAAUCCUUUUUUGUGGCUUGAAAAAUUUAAUCAAAAGCUGGAAACGUGUUCCACAAAAAAGAUUGUAGCGGAUAGCCCGACCCGAG